Molecule: ribosomal RNA, 459 nt
Filed under: uncultured bacterium
Lineage: Bacteria
Description: partial 16S ribosomal RNA
Rfam family: Bacterial small subunit ribosomal RNA
Source: RNAcentral
CCUACGGGUGGCAGCAGUGAGGAAUAUUGGUCAAUGGUCGGGAGACUGAACCAGCCAAGCCGCGUGAGGGAGGAAGGUACAGAGUAUCGUAAACCUCUUUUGUCAGGGAACAAAGACUGGGACGCGUCCCCGGAUGAGUGUACCUGAAGAAAAAGCAUCGGCUAACUCCGUGCCAGCAGCCGCGGUAAUACGGAGGAUGCGAGCGUUAUCCGGAUUUAUUGGGUUUAAAGGGUGCGCAGGCGGUCUGUUAAGUCAGCGGUGAAAGCCCGGGGCUCAACCCCGGCCCGCCGUUGAAACUGGCAGUCUCGAGUUGGAGAGAAGUAUGCGGAAUGCGCGGUGUAGCGGUGAAAUGCAUAGAUAUCGCGCAGAACUCCGAUUGCGAAGGCAGCAUGCCGGCUCCACACUGACGCUGAGGCACGAAAGCGUGGGUAUCGAACAGGAUUAGAUACCCUGGUAGUC